This 253-nucleotide ribosomal RNA is filed under the name uncultured bacterium. Its description in RNAcentral is "partial 16S ribosomal RNA". It matches the Rfam family "Bacterial small subunit ribosomal RNA", at positions 524 to 776 of the family's 1533-position model. The record is from RNAcentral.
UACGAAGGGAGCUAGCGUUACUCGGAAUCACUGGGCGUAAAGCGUAUGUAGGCGGAACCACAAGUCAGAGGUGAAAUCCCGGGGCUCAACCCCGGAAUUGCCUUUGAAACUGUAGUUCUUGAGUAUGACAGAGGAUGGUGGAAUUUCUAGUGUAGAGGUGAAAUUCGUAGAUAUUAGAAAGAACACCGGUGGCGAAGGCGACCAUCUGGGUCAUAACUGACGCUGAGAUACGAAAGCGUGGGGAGCAAACAGG